This 348-nucleotide long non-coding RNA is filed under the name Panax ginseng (ginseng). RNAcentral describes it as "long non-coding RNA (PGIN_LNC000360)". Lineage: Eukaryota; Viridiplantae; Streptophyta; Magnoliopsida; Apiales; Araliaceae. The record is from RNAcentral.
UUUUAAAUAUGCAUUCAAAUUCUUGUUAUGUUGCAGUGCUCUUGAUGCUGGAACGGUGACACCCCGUCCUCUUAUGUUCAUGCCGACUGGGUGAAACCUAUUUGAAUAUUUUCCUGUGUACAAGUUAUGUAUUUCUCCAGUAUGUCCAAGUAUACUACUGUAAAAUGUCCAACUGUCCUAGUACACCUAUUAUUAAAGGUUGAGAAUGUAAAUUUUAAUACAUGUUCUCCUUUCAGAUUAAUCUUGGAAUUUUCAUGGUAGACAAUAAGACAAAAUUUUUGUUUUGGUGGAUCGGUUUGUGGGAGGAUCCAGUGUUGUAGAUGGACAGAGAGAGUUAAUGCUCCAUAG